UCAUCAUCAUCAUCAUCAUCAUCAUCGUCGUCAUCAUCAUCAUCAUCAUCAUCAUCAUCACUUUGUUAAACUAUAACAAAUCUGUGUUUGCACGACACAGAAUCGGUCCAGUGUGUACACUCUGCACAAAACUGUAGUCGGACAAGGGAGGCAGGAAAAACGAAAAAAAACAAAAAAAAAAAAGAGCAAAAAACAAAAACAACAACAUAUCAGUAAACAAUAACAAACAAAAACAAAACAAAACAAAAAGGUCUGUAAGAAAUUCCAUAAAAUCGAAAAAAAAAAAAGAAAAAAGAAAUUGAGUAAAAACAAAAGACAAACACUGACAAACAUACAACGAUAAACAAAUUCUGAUCCAGAGAAGAAACGAAAAAAAGUGUUGAAGUUAUUUCUUUAUAUACAUACAUACAUACAUGAAAUGCGAACUUACAGAAGAGAGUUGAAGAUAUCAAUAUUAUAAUCGCAUAUAUUUCUUUUCGCGCAUCACACGUCUUAAUUCACUGUUUUCUGUUUCUGAUUUAUUUUAUUAUUUUUCGUUUUCUUAUUGUCUUUCCGAGAUACAUAUAAUCUAUCUCCUCUUAAGUUACCGUCUGAGGAACAAUACAUUUUCUUUAUUAUUUUUCUGACAAAGCUAUCACUUCCUUUCUGCUGACUUGUUUUCAUUUUUUUAAAAUCAUUAUUAUUAUUAUUAUUAUUAUUAUUAUUAUUAUUAUUAUUAUUAUUAUUAUUAUUCUAUCUUUCUCUUUUCUUUCUUUCUUUCUUUCAUACAUAUCACAUUCCACGUCUACAUCUAUUAGAUUUUAUGGAAUCUGCCUUUUACCGAUGAAGAUAACAAGACUGAACUAAACAGAAAGAUACAGGAAGAAGAGAAGAGACAAAAAUGAUACACUAAAAAGGAAAAAAAAAACAACAACAAAAAAGCUGAAAGGAAAGAAUAAUUUUGUAUAAAUGUUCUACUAACAUUUACAUUAUAUCACAUCUAACAUAGGAUAGCAAACAUUCAGCAGGGGAACAACGAAACUGGCUAUUUCUCGCCUACAGAUUUAGCUCUCGUGUGACAUGAGGUUGGCUUGCUGCCGAAAAUCCAUCACUACGUCUGUGGAGUGAUUCCUGUAGAGAAAUAGGACGGAAUUUGCUGGUAAUUUUAGGAAGACCUCACGUUACCUUGGUUACGUCCCAGAUAUUUGGGCGAGGAUUACGUUCUUCCCAGCAGUUGGCAAAAGAUUUGCAGAAACAAAUUUCUUGCAUCAACCUGUUUUUGAUUCUAUUUCCUUCUUUCUUCUCCUGUCCCUUCUUCUGUCUUUGUCUUUUUUCCACACCAAAAUACGUCUGGAGUGAAAGACCCAAAUUAAUUUAUAUUUAAAUUAAAUCAAGUGAAUUUUAGGUUUUCCUAUGUUUUUGUUGCACACAUCACAUAUAUCUAUUUGCUUUUCAUUCUUUUCAUUGAAAGAGGAUUUGUAUCAAGCUAUAGCAGACAGCUUCUUUGGUAUACUUGUUCAUUUCUUUUAGGGUCUAUCCACGCAUUUUAAAUUUUCUUACUUAAUUCUCAUCCUGUGCAAUUAAUAUAAUUUUUGAAAUAUAAAAUGAAUUCUAAAUCUUACUUAGCAGUCAUUUUUAAAGCCCUUUCAACCAAAUAGUUAUCUUUAUUCAUAUACUGUGUGAUAUUUGUGUUUCAAAGUCUAAAUUAUGUUCUUCAAAGCUGAUAAUUUCACUGUAUAUUUCGUAUACAGUGUAGCCUCUUUGACUCUCUUAAUGGGAGGUCUAAUAGUGUAUGUGUUUUUCUGGCAUUUUUGGACGACACGUUGUGAAGAUUUAAAACCAAAGAAGCUAUAGCUUCUGUUAUUCAAAUAACGACAAAAUUAUUUUUUUCUUAAAAAUAUUCUUCAACGGGGACAAAACAGGUGAUUCUAUGAUGAAAAGAAAGAAGAAAAGAACAACGAAAAGUAAAAAAAGAUACUAAAAAAAUUAAAACCAGCGUUUUUCUUUUUGGCUUUAGGUAGAUUUUUCUCAGUCAACUCAGAAUAAUGUUCAACAAUUUUGUUCAGGAAUUCGAUCUCGCAUCGAUUUAUUUUUAUAUUUUUCUUGGGGCAAUUUAUAUCAUGAAGACUCAGAGUGAUAUUAAAGAAAUAUCUAUAAACAAUUUUAACCGUUAUUUAGAAAGCUUAAAGCUGGUUAAAUUAAAGAAAUGGCAAACUAUUGUCCAAGAAUCAACGUUUCGUAUCUUGUAACCAAUAAGAUACAAUUAGUUCAGUUCUUUUACGAUUAAAGAAUUGCGACAAUGGACUAUACAGCCAAUGUUCCAAGAUUGGCACAGCACUUUUGUUGUGAGCAGCGAAAGAAUGUUCCGAUGUUUAGCAAUGCUGAGUUCGAUUCCCGAACUUUAUUAUCGAACAACGGUGAACUUAAUGGGGAGUAUCACGUGUAAAGAACUACGCUCCACCAAACUCAAUGCCGUCAGCACUCUAUAUGAAGUGCAUAUUUUUGAGUGGUGUUCUUACAACUAAAGGAAUUGAAUUAUUAUUUAGUACGUUUCCAAAAAAGCGUUUAACGUUCCUGGGUUGAAAUGAAAUACUUCAAUUGAUUGAUGCAUAUAUAUAGAUAUAUCUAUAUAUAUACAUACCCACAUACAUAUGCAUGUGCGUAUAUAUAUAUAUAUAUAUAUAUAUAUAUAUAUAUAUAUAUAUAUAUAUAUAUAUAUAUAUAUAUAUAUAUAUAUAUAUGUAUGCAUGUGUAUGUAUGUAUGUAUGUAAGAGUGUGUGUGUAUGCAUGUGUAUGUGUGUGCAUGUAUAUGUAUGUAACGUGGGAGAAAAGAAAAAUGCCUUGUUAUCUAUGCAUAUGCCUACAUGUACACGCACAAGCAUAUGGUACACACACAAAAAACUCCACAAUUUUAUUGACUAUAGUCAUACAUUCUUCCAUUAUUAAAUUUUGUGAUAAUUAAAUUUUGUGAUAAUGCAAAUUAUUCAACUGAAGUAAACAGAACAAUUACACAUCUACGGUACAUGAAUCGAAUAAUUUAUUAUCCACGUGUACGACUGUAAGGCGCCAAUACAUACAUACGUACAUAUAUACAUACAUACAUACAUACGUACAUACGUACAUACAUACAUACAUACAUACAUACACACAUACAUACAUACAUACAUAAAUACAUAUACACAUGCAUAUUCUUGUAUGUAAAUAGAAACACGAAAGUAAAUAUUACAUCAACUCUAUACAGAUGUGAAAUGGGGAGGGCGACUCCAUGCUUUUCCUAAGAGCGUUAAUGCGUGGGCUCGUAGGUUGUUACAGUGAAUCUGUGAUUGACAUUAUGCUGAUAUCUCGGAUUGCUGGUAGCUUACCCUAUAACGACAUUAAAUGCUCUAAUGAUUUUUUAAAUGGCAGUCACCAGGCUAAUCGGUCUCUCCUGCUAUUGAACUUUUUAUCAUCUUCAAUAAUUUUCAUUUUUUUUAUUUACAAUAAAGCUUUAUAUAAAAACUA
This is a long non-coding RNA of Octopus bimaculoides (California two-spot octopus), 3480 nucleotides long. RefSeq lists it as uncharacterized. NCBI's taxonomy places the organism in Eukaryota, Metazoa, Mollusca, Cephalopoda, Octopoda, Octopodidae. The record is from RefSeq and is a predicted model, not a curated record.